UAAAACAUAAAGCAUGAGCUGGAGUAUUCACCCCUUGUUUUAAAAAAAAACCCAGCCCUGCUCCCUUAUUUUCCUUACAAAAGAAAGGAGAAAAACAAAGCUUUGCUCCCUAUCUAAUUUCAUCCUAGCCAAAGUAAAAAAUAUUGGAGCACAAAGUCAUCCCUUAACUCAUCCGUUUCAAAAGAGAGAAAGGGGGAACAGCCCUUGCACUACUACAUGUUUUAAAAUACCCAAAUUCUCAUCAAAUAACUUCAAUUUUGGCUAAAACCCAACAAGCUCGGCAGAGAAAUAAAUUAGUGAGCUCAAUUGGGGAAGGGAAUUUGAGCAGCAACAAUAAAGGGAGGUUAUUAAUUGAUUGCCAAAAGUAAUUUUCAGCAACUCACAAUUGGUGUACGGUAAGAGUGAUGUUAUUAACUAUUUUUUUUGAGGAAAUUGAAUAAUUAGUGUUGUGUUUUAUUGUCGUUAUGAUUGGAAUUAGUAAGAAGGAGAUUAGUGGUUGGUGUGCGGAGAAAUAAGGAUGGAUGAUUUCUAUGAGAGAUCUCAGUUAAGCCACAAACAAAUUGUUAUGAGAAUCUGAGAAUUGAAUAAUGCACGUAACAUGUUCGAUAAAAUGCCCAAACGAAAUUCAAAGCUUACAAACGAAUAAUUUCCCGAAGUUUGGAACUAGGAAACAUUUAUACAUAUAUUAUGAGGUUUCCUAAGUCUAUUAGAAGAACCAAAACAACUUUGAAAGCAAGAAGAAAUGGAAGUGAAUCAAAUGAAAAUUUAUUAAAACAGUGGUGAACACUGACUUUUGGGCUUUAUAUUAGAUGUCUUAACGAGGUUGUUAGAGACCAAUAAAUGAUGGAAAUCCUACCUUGUAGCAAGGAAUUGAGGUCGGAUCAAGUAUCAAGUCAAUUGGACUUGUGUAGCAAAAGUUACGCUAACCGUUAGGAGGCUUGAAGAAACAAAAUCCAAAUAGUUAGUGGACUGCUGACCAUAGAAGAAAAAUUCGAGGGUAGCUAGAUUGUUCAGAAAAUUCUGGGCUUUUGGGAAAGUAUAGUACACUGAAUAAACUUUCCAUAGAUUCCAGAACGGACUAAUUCCGACUUGGGGGAGGGAGUUAUGGCAUUUCAAAGUAAGCGCGUCGAAUCUGUCCAAAAUUUGGAAGUCAGAUUCGAACCUGUUCCUUACGCGAAUUUUCUGGAAUUAUGGGUGCAGAAUUUGGAAAAGGUUAUUGAAUAGGAGUUGUAGCUCCGGAAGUUAGCUUCGCGUGGGCGCAAGAAUCGCUAAAAAAUGUUUUGAAACGAAUUAGUUAUGACUGUUUUAGCGAGAGAGUGUAAAGCUGGGAAAAAAUUAAAAACUGUUAUGAACGUCCACUUUUGACGCACUUUUUGGGCUGCCUAAUGAACCCGAAUUGGGUGACUCGUAUUUUUUAAAAAUAGUCCUACAUACCAUGUAUAACAUAUUCAAAAAUGAGCGCGAUACAACAUGAGCUAAAAAUGGCAAAAUUGCAAAAUAGCCGCGUCGCGAAGGGGUUGCUGCCCACAGCAGCAGCAGCAGCAGCAGCACACAGACAGCAGCAGCGCACAGUAGCAGUUGGCUGGGGGCUGUUUUGGCCUCUUGUUUAACGUGUCUAAAUUACACAAAAUGUUCGGUUAGAAUUUUUUUAAAAUAGGUGGACAUACCACCUAUAGCAUAUCCAAAAUUGGUCGGGAUCGGACGAACGAGACAGAAACUAAAAAUAUACAAAGUGGACGUCAGAACACGUUCGCCGGCGGCCUACGCCAAGGCAGGUCGGGCCAAGCCAAGGGCAGUCGGGCCCAGUUCGACGCCGCGAUGCGGUUUUCAUAAUGAAACGCAAUAUUUGACGUCGUGACACGUAUUUCAAGGUGGCGACACAAAUUUCGAGGUUUUUGACAGUUUCACGUAUUCUGAGGCAUCGAGGUGGAUAUAGAACGCAGUUUAAAACCUAUAUAACGCGUAUAAUCGUUUGAAGCAUACUAGACGCUAUAAAAGCAAUAUGUAAACAUAAGAUUACAUGUACAUGGGUAUUAUAAUUGUGUAAUGGGAUAUGUUGACGUUAAUGAAAGCUAUUCCAAAGCUAUAUCUCGGAAUUGAACGGUUUUCGAAAUACAAAGCGAAAUUGUGUAAACGGAGUUGAAAACUCAACGCUUGACCUUAAUAAGUUGUGUAGGUAUAAGACAUACAAAUAGCAUAUGUCUACCUACAAGCCAAGUAAAUGAGGCAAUGUUUGACAUUAUAAGAGAGGCGUAUAUGCAAAAGCAUAUAUAUACCUCAUGUGUACAUAAAAUUUGGAAAAGUAAUGUAAUAUGAACGCAUUAAGCCUAGAAAGCUAAUAUUCGUGUGGAAUAGUAUUAAAAUUACUCACGAAAGCGAAAAUAAGAUAUAAUUAUGCAAAGUAAAGGCACAGAUGCACUAUAUGACUAUAAGUCUACAUAUAGAUACGUGUAAAGUUUGUAAAUGCAUUAUAAAAGGGUUAUAAAUUGUAAAUGUAAUGAAUUAACAUUUUAAAAGUUGUGUUGGAACUUUUUGAGAAUGUAUGGCUAUAUUAAGACCUAAAAUAUUUUAAAAGAAUAUGGAAGUUUCUUGGAAAUACGAAUAUCGAAUAUUAAUAUAGUAUAUGUGAAUGUUUAUUAGCUAUACAUGUUAUGGGAUAUGAAUGUGUGACUAAUGUAAAUAUAUGGAAGUUUCUUGGAAAUACGAAUAUCAUAUAUUAAUAUAGUUUAUGUGAAUAUUUAUUAGCUAUACAGGUUAUGGGAUAUGAAUGUGUGACUAAUGUAUGCAUACAUGUGAACAUAACUGUGUAGGAUUCGUGAAGUGAAGUUAAACUAAAGUUUGUAUCAAUGGUCAUUGAACGAGACAAGUUUUUCAGUUCUAUUAUGUUUGUGGAUUAAAUGUGAUUAUGUGAUGAGCUACAUACCAUGCUUUAUGAAUUGUUAAAGUCACAACAUGACUAAGUUAAUUGGGUUAUGGAACUCAAUUUAUAUGUGAUAUGUGAUAGCACAUGUUGUAUGAAGUAAAUCGAUAAAUUAGAAAUGUAUAAUGCAUGAAUGUAUGCGUUGUAAGGAAUUAUUGAUGCAUGUAGGAUAUGCAUAGUAAAGAAUAUAUGUUGCAUGCGGAUAUGCAUAUUAAUGGAAAUAUAAUGCAUAUGGAAUUGUGUGCUAUGUGAAACAUGAUACUGCUAAAUUUGUUGGGCUGUCGAGCUCAAUCUUGCAAACACAAACUUUUUGCAGGUUAAUAAUGUUAAGCAAUAUUACUUGCUAUACCGAUGAUGAAGAUUGAACGAUGUGCAAAAUGAAUACAUUUCCUUGAAUUAGAAAUGGUAUAAAUUUAUCAUUUAUAGUUUUGUCAAAUGUAAUUGGCAGUUAUGUAUAGUUUGAAAUGUUGAAUGGAUAAAGAAUGUUUAUUCUGAAAUGAGAAUAAAUAUGAUUCUAGUAUAAAGAAGAAUUGUAAAGGUUGCGAUUCAGGGAAUGAAUGAAUGGAAAUAAAGAAAAAAAAUUAUUCUGCAUUUUUAGCUAUUUUAACAUAAAAUAAUGUUUUAAAGCUAUAACAAGGUAGUAUUAACGCACACGAUCGGGAAGGUAAAUGGUCCCGAUUUUGGGGUCGUUACAAGCAUGAUCAUCAUUAUGAUUUUAAAAAUAUUGCUCAAAACUAUGGGUUUAUCACAUAUUAUAAAACAACACCAUGCAGAUAAAUUAAAAGCCUUUAAUUAAAUAAUUCUUUUAAUAAUAAAUGAAUAAGAUUGUUACAAAGUAUAUGCUUUAUGAUCAUCAAACAUGAUUGGCUUGUGUGCAUACUACUUUCAAGCUUCAGAUUCCUUUUUGAUAUUUAACUCUAUCUUCAAAUCAUGUUCAGAAUCGUAUCUUUAAGCUCCAAUAUCUUAAUUCCUUCUCAGAUUCGGAUUCCAAAAGUCAACUCUCUAGUCAAGACAUACGAUUGUAAAGUAGAGCCCCUCAACAGACAAACAUAGAGUAACAAAUCAUAGAUUGAAACUCUUCUCUCGGAACUGUAGAGUGAACUUGUACUGGUCGUAGAGUAACUUAGCAGCCGAGUAGAAAACGUAAAGUAGAUUAGCCAGUAUAAGAGUUACCACACUACAAACAUAAAGUGUUGUAUCGAAGAGUUGGAAAAAUGUCGAACAGUCAGCCAAAUCGUAGAGUGAAUUACAACAUUCAUAGAGUGUAACUGGAAAACGUCGAAUGACUAACUUAGGCUUCCUGCGACCGUAGAGCUAACAGACUGCACUCCAAAACUACGAAAUAUCAAACCUCAUCAUUCUCCACUGAACUUCUCUAAAUCAAACUGCUUCUACACAAACAUCUUUCCUAUGAUUCACAUACAUACUUAACUUAGUUAUCAUGGAACAACAACUGUGCACACUGACUCAAAAUUCAGAACAUACUCUCUUUGCUAUUCAUUCUUUUUUUCACCAACAAAACCUUUAGUUCACUUCUUUUUCUAGGUGAAUGUAUUUUAUGCUGCAUUUCACCUCUCACAUUUUUUUCUUCCAACAAGUGAGUGCAUUUUAUGUGACACCCCCAAAUUUGGGUACUUCAAUUUUACAGAUUUGGUGUUCAAUGUCCAAUUAUUAACUACCCAUAAACAAAGGAUAUCAAUUAACUCACAAGCUUAAAUAAUAAACCUCCUAUUAGAGGGUUACAUAAUAAAACAAAUCCUAGGUUAUCUAACCUUUAUUACAUCAUUUGCGAAAAUAACACAUAAAUAAAUAAGUCUCAUUACAUAAUCUUUAUCAAAUAAAAGUAAACAAGUCUUCAUCACUUGUUCAUCUUCCCUUUACCCUUGUGACAACCUGAAAAUUUAUAAGAUUAAUAAAAUCUUGAAUGAUUAAAUAAGGGUUAAAUAAUAAAACUUAGACUGGAAAUAGAGUAUUGAUUAAGAAUUUUGUGAAGGAUUUGUAUGGUUUAUAAACUGAAAGUGAUUAUCUUAUAGCGAGGUAUAUGGUUUUGGAUAUUGUGAUUAUGUGUAUUUGCAAUAUGUGAUUAAAGGGGUAAGUAUUGAUCAGAUAAAUCAUAACAUUGGUAAACCCUAAUGUUAUAUUAAGAAACCUAAUGUUCAGUUAGGAAACCCUAACGAUCGGUUAGAAACCCUAAUUCCAACUUUGGAAACCUUAAUUUCAGCUUUGGAAAUCUUAAUUCUAGUUUUGAAAAUCCUAAACCCUAAUUUGCAAACCCUAAUGCUAAGUAUAAAACCCUAAGAGCAUUCACAACAGUUUUCUUAUCUUUAUCCCUACUCUGCAGUGUUAUUGGGUCAUUCUACAAAAUAUGGAUUCAAUUUUUUCACUAUGUACCCAACAUGUUCCUUAUAUUAUUCCUUAAAUAAUGAAAUUUAAAAUUUAAAAGUUCCAACAGUCAAAACAUGAAAUUAAUAAUAAUCUUAUAAUUUAUAAAAGAGAGUAUAAUUUAUCAAUUAUAUUUCAUUGUAAAAUAAUUUUUAUUUAUUUUAAAUUUUAAGUAAUUUAUGGAGUGGGUAUUGAAUAGAUUGUAAUUGUAAAUGUACAUAAGAUCAAUAUUAACUUCUAAAAAGUUAAUUUGUGAUAUUUUUAAAUUUAAAUUUAAUAUGAUUCAUUUAAAUUUUGAAAAUAAUAAAUUUUAUAAUUAAUAGUACUUUUAUAAUAUUUAUAAUUAUAUUGACAGAAAAUAAAUAAAUUUAUAUCAAUUUUAAAUUUGUAUACAUUUGAUUUUUUUUUUAAAAGUCAAUAUUAAGUUUAUAAUUUGAAAAUCAAGUAGUAAACAAAUGUCAAGAUGUGUAUGAUUGAUGAGUUGUCCACUUAAAUGAGGGUGUAAAAUGUCAUUUUAUAUAUAUAAAGAACAGUCUUUUGAUUCCCUCACAUUGGGGAGUAAAAUCCUAUAUAGGGAUUAAAAUAGAAAGUCAAAUAAGGAUAAGGAAACUGUUGGAUAAUGAUUUAUUGAUAUAUUCUUAAAAAUUGGGGAUAGAGAGUUUAUUAGGGAAACUGUUAUUAAUGCUAUUAAUGCUCUAAGGGUUAAGAAUUAAGGGAAUCAUGUGAAAUGACCAAACUACCCUUAAAAUUAUAGGGAAAAUUACCAAAAUACCCUUUUGGUCGGGAAAUUAUCAAAAUACCCUUUAAUUAACUUUUAAGUAAAAGAUAGAACCAAAUCUGGAUGAGUCAUCACUUGAGAUUGCCCAUGUGCUUCAAAUCAACUUGAAUCAGCCAUCCAAUGACACCUUGCAACAACUACAACCAUUGAAUCAAAUAUAGAAAAUUAAAGUAAGAAAAAUUCUUUACUUUAGUUUUUCAUAAGCCAAGACUCCUUUUCUCUCUCUCUUAGACCACUAAGUUUCUUAAGAAACUCAGUUCUAAGUUAAGUAAGAAUCACCCCAUAACCAUACAAGAUUUGGAUCAAGGAGCAGAAAUCAAAAGUUGGAUCAAGAAGGUAUAAACCCUAAUUCAUGCUAGCUCUUUAAGAUCUCAGUAGAUUAUAUGUUUUGCUGUUUAAAUGUGUGCUAUGUGAUAUUAUUUAGUGAUCUAUAAUGAUAUAUCAUGGAUCCAUAACAUUUAAAUGUAUGAAAAUAAUGAUUUAAGAAACUGUCAAGAACCCUAGAAAUAUGGCCUGACAAUCAAAUGUCAGAGGCCAUAGAUCUUAAUCUGUUAAGUGUUAGGCUUGCUAAGUGUAUCCUUCUUAAAGUUUGUCAUGAGGAGAGUAAUCUGAAAGUGAAAUCAUGUCCAUACCAUGUCCAGAUCUCAAGUUAUUAAUGAUCAAACAUGUUUGACCAGUCAUGAAAAUGAAUUUCUGGAAAACCCAGAAACUGCCCAAAAAUGUCUAACAACAUGUUUAGGGGCUUAGAUCUUGCAUCUGUUAUGUUGUUAGUUUGUCUAAGUGUAUCAUUGAUAUACCCUGACAUAUGGACUAUAGAACCAUGACAUUAAAACACCUAAAUUAUCAACAGGAUCAAAGUUAUUGAUGGUCAAACUGGGUUGACCAAGCACAAAUUCAGUUUUCUGGAAUUUCUAAAAAACUGAAGAACAAGUCUCUGACAGUCUUUUGACCAAGCCAGAUCUUGCUAUUGUGAUGUUGUUAAGCUACAUAAGUGUAAUACUUUUGUACCUUGACAUAUAUACUACAAAAGUGUGACACUAUAACACUUAAAGUAAUCCUAGAAUCCAAGUUAUUAAGAGUCCAAAAUGACCCCUCAUCACUGUCUGAGUUUCUGGGUAACCCAGAAAUUCAAGAACAGCUCUGACGUCAAUUUUGAUCACUUAUAACUUCUUGUUAUGGUGUAGUUUGACCCUAAAACUGGUUAGUACUUGUAGUAUUACACUAGUACUAUACCAUUGAUAUAUUUUCUUGCCUAGAAACAUCAUGAACUAGGAAUUAAAGAUAGUCAAAGUAGGCUACAAAGCAUUAACCAAGACUGUUCUUCAAGGCUCAAGAACACCUAUAGCGACAGUUUUUGUCGCGAUAGGCCUUUAGCGACAGUUUAAAUGAAAAUUAAUUAAUUUAAUUUAAAUAAAUAGAAAAAAAUUAUGAAAAAUUCAUAAUUAAGUUAUAAAAAUUAUUUGAAGUUAUAAAAAUUAACUUUUAAUAAUUUAAGAUAAAUUUAAUUAAUAUUUUAAUUUAUUUAAAUGCUAAUGAUAUUAAAUUUAUUUAAUAAUUAUAUUAAAUAAAUUAGUUAAAAAUAAUUUUAAUAUUUUAAAAAUUAUUUAAAAAUGAUUAAAGUGUUAAAAAUAUUUUAAGUUAUAAUGAAUAACUUUUAAUAUUUUGGUAUGGAUUUCAUUAAUAAUUUAAUAUUAAUGAUAAUAAAUUUAUUUAAUAAUAGUAUUAAAUAAAUUAUUUAAAAAUGAUUAAAGUGUUAAAAAUAUUUUAAGUUAUAAUGAAUAACUUUUAAUAUUUUGGUAUGGAUUUCAUUAAUAAUUUAAUAUUAAUGAUAAUAAAUUUAUUUAAUAAUAGUAUUAAAUAAAUUAUGUAAAAAUGAUUUUAAUGUUUUAAAAAUCAUUUAAAAAUGAUAUAAAGAUUCUAAAAAUGUUUGAAGUUAUAAUAUAUAACUUUUAAUUUUUUGACAUGAAAUACAUUAAUAUUUUAAUAUUUUGAUAUGAAAUACAUUAAUAUUUUAAUAUUAAUUGCAGUUAUUUAAGAAUGAUUUUACAUGUUUUAAAAAUCAUUUAAAGUUGAUAUUAAGGUAUAAAAAAUAUUCUGAGUUAUAAUAAAUAACUUUUAAUAUCCGGACAUGAAUUUCAUUAAUAUUUGAAAUAAAUUAAAUAUUAAUGAUGAUAGAAUUAUUCAGUAUUUUAAUCAUUUAAAAAUGAUAUUAAUGAUUGAAAAAUCAUUAUAAAUGAUAAUAAUUAUUUAAAAAUUAUUAUGAGCUUUCGAAAAAUGUUAUGACUGAUAAUUAAAUUAUCUAAAGUAAUAUUGAAGCGUUUAAGUAGAGUUUUAUUGAAAAUAAACUUGAUAAUUAUCCGAUAAGGCAAUCAGGAUGUCGAAAUAAAACCCAAAUCAAAUUAGACUGAAAUAGUUUGAAUUGAUAAUAUUUCUUAUGUGUUCUAACGACUGUUAGGGAAAUUUGGUAAUGUGUUUAUGUUGUAUUAUGACUGUAAUUAACAUGAGUGUACAUUAUGAUAUUAUUCUAAUUGAGAGAUGAAUAUUAUCAAUAAUAGGUCUUUCAAAUGAAGCUAAAUUAGAUUACGUAGCAGUAAUCAACGGUACAAGCAAGUUUCCUAACUCAAACUUGUGUUGUUAUUUCAAGGCAUGUUCGUGGUUAAUCAGUGUUGAUUAUACCACAUCUAUGAUUUAUUAAUUCGUACAUGGUGCAUGUUGUAUAUGUUCAUCAGGUAUGAAAGGUUGAUCACCUUCAUUACCAUAUGGUUCAGUUAAAUUUGUUUAUGUUUAUUGUUGGCCAUUUGACAUUAUUGAUUCAGUCAUUCAGUUAUGGAAAUUGAUUUGUAUUCUUUCACAAUCAUUAUAUUGUUGAAAGUUUUUCAACUUAUUAUUCCUUUUCAAUCAUUAUAUAUCUUCAUUUGAACUUAAACUUGUUGGGCAAAAUUGUUGUUCACCCUUGCUAUAUCAUGAUAAAAUUUUCAGAUUAAGACGAAACUUCGGAUACAGGCAAAGGCAAAGACAAAUUCCAGAAUUGGAUUAUGAUGCAGAUUGUAAUAGUAUUGGAGGCAAAUGACAUUGUAUGUCGUAUAUGAUAUUGAAUGCCGGUAUUAAGUUAAGGUUAUAGGCAUUGGGAAUUAUGUGUAUAAGUUUAUUGUAUAAAUAAUUUAUGUUUAUAUCUUCC
This 9258-nucleotide long non-coding RNA is filed under the name Panax ginseng (ginseng). Its description in RNAcentral is "long non-coding RNA (PGIN_LNC001334)". The record is from RNAcentral. Lineage: Eukaryota; Viridiplantae; Streptophyta; Magnoliopsida; Apiales; Araliaceae.